CCUACGGGGUGCUGCAGUGGGGAAUAUUGGACAAUGGGCGAAAGCCUGAUCCAGCCAUGCCGCGUGUGUGAAGAAGGCCUUCGGGUUGUAAAGCACUUUCAGUGGGGAAGAAAGCCUUGGGGCUAAUACCCUCGAGGAAGGACAUCACCCACAGAAGAAGCACCGGCUAACUCCGUGCCAACAGCCGCGGUAAUACGGAGGGUGCGAGCGUUAAUCGGAAUUACUGGGCGUAAAGCGCGCGUAGGCGGUCUGAUAAGCCGGUUGUGAAAGCCCCGGGCUCAACCUGGGAACGGCAUCCGGAACUGUCAGGCUAGAGUGCAGGAGAGGAAGGUAGAAUUCCCGGUGUAGCGGUGAAAUGCGUAGAGAUCGGGAGGAAUACCAGUGGCGAAGGCGGCCUUCUGGACUGACACUGACGCUGAGGUGCGAAAGCGUGGGUAGCAAACAGGAUUAGAUACCCUAGUAGUC
Molecule: ribosomal RNA, 465 nt
Filed under: Vreelandella stevensii
Lineage: Bacteria; Pseudomonadati; Pseudomonadota; Gammaproteobacteria; Oceanospirillales; Halomonadaceae
Description: partial 16S ribosomal RNA
Rfam family: Bacterial small subunit ribosomal RNA
Source: RNAcentral